CCAUAUGUAUUUCCACAAUAAUAAACCUAUUGGUUCAUCGUGUCACUAUGUGUAUGCAUUGAAGCCAUUGGAAUGCUUACUCUUAAUGAUUUGCUAGGUGACUCUCUGUUCCCAUUGUGCUAAGACGCGUGGAAUGAAUAAUAAUAGUUCGAUUAUUCAGGCAACGAUUUCUUUACAACUGAAAAUAGCCACGGCACACAUUAAGCACUAGUCUACCUGAACUACUCCACGAGCCACGACUAGCUCAUCUGCCUCGUCGUCCUCCGCCUCCUCGUCCUCGUAUGCACCCAUCCGGCCCGUCGCCGUCAAACGCAAUCCAAGCGAAGAUGAUUGAUCCUGUCAAGGCGAUGAAGGAAAAGCAAAUAUCCGGCCACCCCCUGUAUAUAUAUGGUCGUCAGUAUACGCGCUCAACCGGCGACAAAGUAAUCAUCCAAGAAAGAACCGAGCAUAGUGAUCAAGAACUCACCCGUCGGCGCCGCCCUGCGGCCCGUUGGUGAACAUCGUCCGCUGCAGAAUAGUUAAACCGGACGAGGGAUUCAGAUCGAGAUUUAAUUUACUUUUACACCGCUGAAAAAAGAGACCAACAGACGAAGGUGCACUAGCUUACAUACCGCCCCGGAGGCAGAGUUGGCGGGCGCGGCG
Molecule: long non-coding RNA, 642 nt
Filed under: Triticum aestivum (bread wheat)
Lineage: Eukaryota; Viridiplantae; Streptophyta; Magnoliopsida; Poales; Poaceae
Description: long non-coding RNA (TAES_LNC021403)
Source: RNAcentral